RNAcentral lists this ribosomal RNA (497 nucleotides) under uncultured bacterium. RNAcentral's name for it is "partial 16S ribosomal RNA". It matches the Rfam family "Bacterial small subunit ribosomal RNA", at positions 28 to 507 of the family's 1533-position model. The record is from RNAcentral.
GAUGAACGCUGGCGGCGUGCCUAAUACAUGCAAGUCGAGCGAACAGACGAGGAGCUUGCUCCUCUGACGUUAGCGGCGGACGGGUGAGUAACACGUGGAUAACCUACCUAUAAGACUGGGAUAACUUCGGGAAACCGGAGCUAAUACCGGAUAAUAUAUUGAACCGCAUGGUUCAAUAGUGAAAGACGGUUUUGCUGUCACUUAUAGAUGGAUCCGCGCCGCAUUAGCUAGUUGGUAAGGUAACGGCUUACCACGGCAACGAUGCGUAGCCGACCUGAGAGGGUGAUCGGCCACACUGGAACUGAGACACGGUCCAGACUCCUACGGGAGGCAGCAGUAGGGAAUCUUCCGCAAUGGGCGAAAGCCUGACGGAGCAACGCCGCGUGAGUGAUGAAGGUCUUCGGAUCGUAAAACUCUGUUAUUAGGGAAGAACAAAUGUGUAAGUAACUAUGCACGUCUUGACGGUACCUAAUCAGAAAGCCACGGCUAACUACGUG